ACGGAAGGCAGCAGUGAGGAAUAUUGGUCAAUGGGCGGAAGCCUGAACCAGCCAAGUCGCGUGAAGGAAGAAGGUAUUAUGUAUUGUAAACUUCUUUAGACGUAGAGAAAUAAGCGGGUCGUGACCCGUGAUGCUAGUAUACGUAGAAUAAGGAUCGGCUAACUCCGUGCCAGCAGCCGCGGUAAUACGGAGGAUCCGAGCGUUAUCCGGAUUUAUUGGGUUUAAAGGGUGCGCAGGCGGUCUUUUAAGUCAGUGGUUAAAUUGUGAGGCUCAACCUCAUCGCGCCAUUGAUACUGGUUGACUUGAUUUCGGUCGAGGCAGGCGGAAUUCGCCGUGUAGCGGUGAAAUGCAUAGAUAUGGCGAAGAACUCCGAUUGCGUAGGCAGCUUACCAGACCGACAAUGACGCUCAUGCACGAAAGUGCGGGGAUCGAACAGGAUUAGAUACCCUGGUA
RNAcentral lists this ribosomal RNA (453 nucleotides) under uncultured Proteiniphilum sp. Its description in RNAcentral is "partial 16S ribosomal RNA". It matches the Rfam family "Bacterial small subunit ribosomal RNA", at positions 341 to 792 of the family's 1533-position model. Lineage: Bacteria; Pseudomonadati; Bacteroidota; Bacteroidia; Bacteroidales; Dysgonomonadaceae. The record is from RNAcentral.